This 460-nucleotide ribosomal RNA is filed under the name uncultured bacterium. RNAcentral's name for it is "partial 16S ribosomal RNA". It matches the Rfam family "Bacterial small subunit ribosomal RNA", at positions 338 to 795 of the family's 1533-position model. The record is from RNAcentral.
CCUACGGGUGGCAGCAGUGAGGAAUAUUGGGCAAUGGGCGAGAGCCUGAACCAGCCAAGUCGCGUGAAGGAUGACGGCUCUACGGGUUGUAAACUUCUUUUGUCAGGGAGCAAUUGAGUCCACGUGUGGUCUUAGCGAGAGUACCUGAAGAAAAAGCAUCGGCUAACUUCGUGCCAGCAGCCGCGGUAAUACGGAGGAUGCGAGCGUAAUCCGGAUUUAUUGGGUUUAAAGGGUGCGUAGGCGGAAUAUCAAGUCAGCGGGAAAAAGUCGGGGCUCAACCCCGUCGUGCCGUUGAAACUGAUGUUCUUGAGUGGGCGAGAGGUGUGCGGAAUGCGUGGUGUAGCGGUGAAAUGCAUAGAGAUCACGCAGAACUCCAAUUGCGAAGGCAGCAUACCGGCGCCCAACUGACGCUGAAGCACGAAAGCGUGGGUAUCGAACAGGAUUAGAUACCCCAGUAGUC